RNAcentral lists this ribosomal RNA (434 nucleotides) under uncultured bacterium. Its description in RNAcentral is "bacterial SSU rRNA". It matches the Rfam family "Bacterial small subunit ribosomal RNA", at positions 355 to 787 of the family's 1533-position model. The record is from RNAcentral.
UGAGGAAUAUUGGUCAAUGGUCGGGAGACUGAACCAGCCAAGCCGCGUGAGGGAUGAAGGUACAGAGUAUCGUAAACCUCUUUUGUCAGGGAACAAAAGGCGCCACGCGUGGCGCUCCGAGUGUACCUGAAGAAAAAGCAUCGGCUAACUCCGUGCCAGCAGCCGCGGUAAUACGGAGGAUGCGAGCGUUAUCCGGAUUUAUUGGGUUUAAAGGGUGCGUAGGCGGCGAGUUAAGUCAGCGGUAAAAGCCCGGGGCUCAACCCCGGCCCGCCGUUGAAACUGGCUUGCUUGAGUUGGAGAGAAGUAGGCGGAAUGCGCGGUGUAGCGGUGAAAUGCUUAGAUAUCGCGCAGAACUCCGAUUGCGAAGGCAGCCUACCGGCUCCAGACUGGCGCUGAGGCACGAAAGCGUGGGGAGCAAACAGGAUUAGAUACCC